Molecule: ribosomal RNA, 253 nt
Filed under: uncultured bacterium
Lineage: Bacteria
Description: partial 16S ribosomal RNA
Rfam family: Bacterial small subunit ribosomal RNA
Source: RNAcentral
UACGUAGGGUGCAAGCGUUAAUCGGAAUUACUGGGCGUAAAGCGUGCGCAGGCGGUGAUGUAAGACAGGUGUGAAAUCCCCGGGCUUAACCUGGGAACUGCAUUUGUGACUGCAUCGCUGGAGUGCGGCAGAGGGGGAUGGAAUUCCGCGUGUAGCAGUGAAAUGCGUAGAUAUGCGGAGGAACACCGAUGGCGAAGGCAGCCCCCUGGGCUGACACUGACGCUCAGGCACGAAAGCGUGGGGAGCAAACAGG